CAGCCGCCGCGGGAAUACGAAGGGGGCUAGCGUUGUUCGGAUUUACUGGGCGUAAAGCGCACGUAGGCGGAUCGAUCAGUCAGGGGUGAAAUCCCAGAGCUCAACUCUGGAACUGCCUUUGAUACUGUCGAUCUGGAGUAUGGAAGAGGUGAGUGGAGUUCCGAGUGUAGAGGUGAAAUUCGUAGAUAUUCGGAAGAACACCAGUGGCGAAGGCGGCUUACUGGCUCAUUCUAGACGCUGAGGUGCGAAAGCGUGGGGGGCAAACAGGAUUAGAUACCCGUGUAGUCCCUGUCUCUUAUAC
This 301-nucleotide ribosomal RNA is filed under the name uncultured bacterium. RNAcentral describes it as "partial 16S ribosomal RNA". It matches the Rfam family "Bacterial small subunit ribosomal RNA", at positions 509 to 807 of the family's 1533-position model. The record is from RNAcentral.